Drosophila busckii is the source of this 227-nucleotide long non-coding RNA. RefSeq lists it as uncharacterized. The record is from RefSeq and is a predicted model, not a curated record. NCBI's taxonomy places the organism in Eukaryota, Metazoa, Arthropoda, Insecta, Diptera, Drosophilidae. The transcript has 2 exons.
UCAAUGUCAAAUUGGACGAAAGUUUAUAAAUAUAUAAAAAUUUAUGGAUACAAUGAAUUCAGUAUCUUUAGAGACAGACAUUCAGAGCCGUCGUGUGUGUAUUGUAUGCAACUUCUCCUGGUGCAAACUUCUCCGGGACUCAAUGGCUUACCCGCGCCUUCCUUGCCAGCUAUCACGUACUCUAGCAGAAAGUAAAUUUGUUGUAUGAAACUCUAAAAAUUUAAGCA